RNAcentral lists this transfer RNA (72 nucleotides) under Endocronartium harknessii PhW48OC. RNAcentral's name for it is "tRNA-Sup (CTA) (tRNA-Sup-CTA-20-1)". It matches the Rfam family "tRNA". From Rfam's summary of the family: Transfer RNA (tRNA) molecules are approximately 80 nucleotides in length. Lineage: Eukaryota; Fungi; Basidiomycota; Pucciniomycetes; Pucciniales; Coleosporiaceae. The record is from RNAcentral.
GUGUCUGGAGCCUGGUGGUAAAAGGCAGCACUCUAGAUGCUGAGGUUGUGGGUUCAAAUCCCACCAGAAACA